AGGCGAUGGUUGCAUCUGCUCGG
RNAcentral lists this non-coding RNA (23 nucleotides) under Arabidopsis thaliana (thale cress). Lineage: Eukaryota; Viridiplantae; Streptophyta; Magnoliopsida; Brassicales; Brassicaceae. The record is from RNAcentral.